Molecule: ribosomal RNA, 500 nt
Filed under: uncultured bacterium
Lineage: Bacteria
Description: partial 16S ribosomal RNA
Rfam family: Bacterial small subunit ribosomal RNA
Source: RNAcentral
AUUGAACGCUGGCAGCAGGCUUAACACAUGCAAGUCGAGCGGGGGAGGUUACUUCGGUAACUGACCUAGCGGCGGACGGGUGAGUAAUGCUUAGGAAUCUGCCUAUUAGUGGGGGACGACAUUCCGAAAGGAAUGCUAAUACCGCAUACGUCCUACGGGGGAAAGCAGGGGAUCUUCGGACCUUGCGCUAAUAGAUGAGCCUAAGUCGGAUUAGCUAGUUGGUGGGGUAAAGGCCUACCAAGGCGACGAUCUGUAGCGGGUCUGAAAGGAUGAUCCGCCACACUGGGACUGAGACACGGCCCAGACUCCUACGGGAGGCAGCAGUGGGGAAUAUUGGACAAUGGGGGAACCCUGAUCCAGCCAUGCCGCGUGUGUGAAGAAGGCCUUUUGGUUGUAAAGCACUUUAAGCGAGGAGGAGGCUCCUUUAGUUAAUACCUAAAGAGAGUGGACGUUACUCGCAGAAUAAGCACCGGCUAACUCUGUGCCAGCCGCCGCUGUAA